This is a long non-coding RNA of Oncorhynchus nerka (sockeye salmon), 935 nucleotides long. RefSeq lists it as uncharacterized. The record is from RefSeq and is a predicted model, not a curated record. The transcript has 2 exons. Lineage: Eukaryota; Metazoa; Chordata; Actinopteri; Salmoniformes; Salmonidae.
UUGGUUUGACGAAUAAGAAACUGUUUUAUUAACCAAACCUGUAUGUCCAAGAGUUUAUGCACUACAGGUGAACUACAGGUGAAGACACUCAAUCCAGUCCCGUGGGCCACCCGGAUUCAUAUCGCACUGCGGGGGGGACUCUGGAGAGAUCAAUGACACUACAGAUGGUGCGUUAUGGGCCGUUUCCAGGUUCUGACCCAUGGAGGACUGAAGGCAUGUCUACAGAGGAAGUGGACGAAUCUGGAUCUGUCAAUUGUGGGGAAUUUAUGUUUGAUGAGAAUAGCGUUGAGAUGAAGGGGAAUUAGAUUGUAAUUUGUUUCAAUGAUUAAACUGUUUUUUAAUAAAUAUUGUAAAAAGAAAAAAAAAGAAAAAAUCCUGAAAGAGGAGUUAUGAUUCUGAUGUAGGUUUAAAAACAGUUGGAGUUAAGGUUAGAUUUGAUUAAUGAUGGGUGAAGAGUCGGGUAAACAUUUAUAAUAAUAUUUUUAUUUUGUAGAUUUGAAUGUAUAAUAUUUGAUCAAAGGGAGGAUUGAUAGAGGAAAAUAUGGUUGAAAUGACUAAUUAUGUAUACAUUCCAAUCAGAAACUGACUAGUCCAAAUGCUAUAAUGUACUGUACAUGUGAGUUUUCCCUCUUGCUCCCUUUCCCAAUUGUAUAUAAUGUAGUCAGGAGUUAGUAACAAUGUAGGUCUGUUCCUUAGUUCAUUCAGUUGUACAAAUCUCCAGGUGGUGGGAACGGGCCAUCUCCAAAUGGUCGGGAAUGUUGAUUUAUGCUGACUGGCCUUGACUUCGUGCUGAUAACGCGAAGGCUUGAGAGCUAGAGGGGCCCUCUGUUUGUGAAACGGAACGUUUGGAAAACGCUGACGUCAUUUUCAGUUUAUAACCUGUGGAAAUGUGUGUAUGCAUUCAGUACUCUCUGGAAUUAAACACUCUUACCUGG